Molecule: ribosomal RNA, 274 nt
Filed under: uncultured bacterium
Lineage: Bacteria
Description: partial 16S ribosomal RNA
Rfam family: Bacterial small subunit ribosomal RNA
Source: RNAcentral
AUACGGAGGGGGUUAGCGUUGUUCGGAAUUACUGGGCGUAAAGCGCACGUAGGCGGACCGGAAAGUUAGAGGUGAAAUCCCAGGGCUCAACCCUGGAACUGCCUUUAAAACUAUCGGUCUAGAGUUCGAGAGAGGUGAGUGGAAUUCCUAGUGUAGAGGUGAAAUUCGUAGAUAUUAGGAGGAACACCAGUGGCGAAGGCGGCUCACUGGCUCGAUACUGACGCUGAGGUGCGAAAGCGUGGGGAGCAAACAGGAUUAGAAACCCCAGUAGUCC